UGUCCAAGUAUGAACGUUUCUGUACAGUGAAACUGCGAAUGGCUCAUUAAAUCAGUUAUAGUUUAUUUGAUGGUUCCUUGCUACUUGGAUAACCGUGGUAAUUCUAGAGCUAAUACAUGCAGAAAGUCCCGACUGUCUCGGAAGGGAUGUAUUUAUUAGAUCCAAAACCAGUGCGAGCUCUCCUCCGGGGAGUUCGGUUCGCGGGUGAUUCAUGAUAACUGCUCGAAUCGCAGGGCCCUAGUGCCGGCGAUGAUCCAUUCAAAUUUCUGCCCUAUCAACUUUCGAUGGUACGGUAGUGGCCUACCAUGGUUGCAACGGGUGACGGAGAAUUAGGGUUCGAUUCCGGAGAGGGAGCCUGAGAAACGGCUACCACAUCCAAGGAAGGCAGCAGGCGCGCAAAUUACCCAAUCCCGGCUCGGGGAGGUAGUGACAAUAAAUAACAAUGCCGGGCCAAUUCGGUCUGGCAAUUGGAAUGAGUACAACCUAAACUCCUUAACGAGGAACAAUUGGAGGGCAAGUCUGGUGCCAGCAGCCGCGGUAAUUCCAGCUCCAAUAGCGUAUAUUAAAGUUGUUGCAGUUAAAAAGCUCGUAGUUGGAUUUCGGGGCGGCCCGGUCGGUCCGUCGCAAGGCGUGCACUGGUCGUGCGCCCUUCCUCUCGGAGGCCCCGGCUGCUCUUGGUUGUAGCGGUCGGGGAGUUCGGGACGUUUACUUUGAAAAAAUUAGAGUGUUCAAGGCAGGCUGCCGCCUGAAU
RNAcentral lists this ribosomal RNA (751 nucleotides) under Ectyoplasia ferox (brown encrusting octopus sponge). Its description in RNAcentral is "SSU rRNA". It matches the Rfam family "Eukaryotic small subunit ribosomal RNA", at positions 56 to 800 of the family's 1831-position model. Lineage: Eukaryota; Metazoa; Porifera; Demospongiae; Axinellida; Raspailiidae. The record is from RNAcentral.